Molecule: ribosomal RNA, 274 nt
Filed under: uncultured bacterium
Lineage: Bacteria
Description: partial 16S ribosomal RNA
Rfam family: Bacterial small subunit ribosomal RNA
Source: RNAcentral
AUACGGAGGGUGCAAACGUUGCUCGGAUUUAUUGGGCGUAAAGCGCGUGUAGGCGGUUGAUUAAGUCUUGUGUGAAAGCCCUCGGCUUAACCGAGGAAUUGCGCUGGAUACUGGUCAACUAGAGUACGGGAGAGGGUAGCGGAAUUCCCGGUGUAGAGGUGAAAUUCGUAGAUAUCGGGAGGAACACCAGUGGCGAAGGCGGCUACCUGGACCGAUACUGACGCUGAGACGCGAAAGCGUGGGGAGCAAACAGGAUUAGAAACCCCGGUAGUCC